AUCUUGUCUCAUGCCCACCUUGCAGUUUUCCAUUUUUCUCCACCUAGGACCCACCUCACUUUGUGGAUUUACUCUAUAAAAAUCCUUGGAAAAAAUCUCUAUGUGGAAGGUGCAUGCUGAGCAGCAGGAGUUGGGCUUAAGGCCCUUGCGUCCAGUCUCAGGUCAGUAUGAGCAAGAAAAAGGGGUCCUGAACAUUUCCAUGGAAGAGGUUGUCACCUGAGUCUAAGUGUACCAUUAGGCCUCAUCCAGAGUUUUCUCUCUACUCUGCUAUAGUACUAAAAUGUGAGUAGAAAGACUCAGA
RNAcentral lists this long non-coding RNA (301 nucleotides) under Chinchilla lanigera (long-tailed chinchilla). RNAcentral describes it as "lncRNA (ENSCLAG00000022818.1)". The record is from RNAcentral. Lineage: Eukaryota; Metazoa; Chordata; Mammalia; Rodentia; Chinchillidae.